Molecule: ribosomal RNA, 328 nt
Filed under: uncultured eukaryote
Lineage: Eukaryota
Description: partial 18S ribosomal RNA
Rfam family: Eukaryotic small subunit ribosomal RNA
Source: RNAcentral
CCCUUAGAUGUCCGGGGCUGCACGCGCGCUACACUGAAGGAAUCAGCGUGCUAAAACCAUUGUCGAAAGGCAUUGGCAAACCCAUUAAAAUCCUACGUGAUUGGGAUCGGGAAUUGCAAUUAUUUCCCUUGAACGAGGAAUUCCCAGUAAGUGUGGGUCAUAAGCUCGCGUUGAUUACGUCCCUGCCCUUUGUACACACCGCCCGUCGCUGCCCGGGACUGAGCCGUUUCGAGAAAAGCGGGGACUGCUGCUGUCGGGGCUUUCGGGCCUUGGCUUCGGUGGAAACCGCUUUAAUCGCAGUGGCUUGAACCGGGCAAAAGUCGUAACA